CUCUUUGACAGGCUUGGAGCAGUUAAUGUCUGAUUCUAAGGUCUCCACUACAGAAAAAGAAAAGUUCCUCGCGCUGUCUUUCUGCUUGCGGCUGCCAAGACUGAAUGGGGGAGGUAGAG
This 119-nucleotide small nucleolar RNA is filed under the name Loxodonta africana (African savanna elephant). Its description in RNAcentral is "Small nucleolar RNA SNORA31 (ENSLAFG00000033006.1)". The record is from RNAcentral. Lineage: Eukaryota; Metazoa; Chordata; Mammalia; Proboscidea; Elephantidae.